UACGAAGGGGGCUAGCGUUGCUCGGAAUUACUGGGCGUAAAGCGCGCGUAGGCGGCUUUGCAGGUCGGGUGUGAAAUCCCCAGGCUUAACCUGGGAACUGCAUUCGAGACUGCAUUGCUAGAGUAUGGGAGAGGGAAGUGGAAUUUCCGGUGUAGCGGUGAAAUGCGUAGAUAUCGGAAGGAACAUCAGUGGCGAAAGCGACUUCCUGGACCAAUACUGACGCUCAUGUGCGAAAGCGUGGGGAGCAAACAGG
This 253-nucleotide ribosomal RNA is filed under the name uncultured bacterium. RNAcentral describes it as "partial 16S ribosomal RNA". It matches the Rfam family "Bacterial small subunit ribosomal RNA", at positions 524 to 776 of the family's 1533-position model. The record is from RNAcentral.